CCCAUAGUCAACAUGUCCUGAUCGCAGAUGAAUUGGAAAAAUGUGAUGGAUGUCACUAACCUCAUCUACCUGCUGCACAUUCAGCUUUCACACAUUUCUACAAUUUAUAUUCAGCUUCAUUCCAUAUUGUGUAAACAUUUACUGAAUGUUUAAACAUUUCAACCUAACAGAAAAGAAGAGGACAAAGAAAGAAAGAAAGAAAGAAAGAAAAACUACCGUUCUGGUCUCUCUGCCUCAGAGAUUAGGAGAUUUGGUACUGUACUCAGUCUCCAUAGUAACUGCGAUGUGUUUGGGGUGCGCACACACACACACACACACACACACACUCCUGAACAGCUGGAGGCAAACCGGUACCUCAGGAGGCUCCAUUGCCAGAGUUUUUGUCUGAAUUGUGGCUGUUUUUAUUUUUCAUAUGAACAGAGACGUAAAGUUCUCAAUCCUGCACUCAUCUUCAUGUAGAAAUGUGUGUGAUUAUAACAGCUUUAUUAUUAUUAUCUUUCUAACAAGAUAAAUAAAUAUUGUGUCAAUAUAUAAAUGUAUAAUAUAAACGUAAAUAUUAUGUAAAUAGAUGAAAAUGUGUUUAUGUGUUCAUUCACUCCUCUGUUCAUGAUCUGUGUUAUCCAGGUCGGAGUCAGAGUCGGAGUCAGAGUCAGAGCAGAGUCAGAGUGGAGACAGAGUCGGAGUGGAAUCAGAGUGGACUCAGAGUCAGAGGGGAGACAGAGUCGGAGUGGAGUCAGAGUGGAGACAGAGACAGAGUCAGAGUGGAGUCAGAGUCGGAGUGGGGUUGGAGUCAGAGAGGAAUCAGAGUCAGAGUGGAGUUGGAGUCAGAGUGGAGUUGGAGUCAGAGUGGAGUUGGAGUCAGAGUGGAGUCAGAGUCAGAGUGGAGUCAGAGUCAGAGUGAAGACAGAGUCAGAGUCGGAGUGGAGUCAGAGUCGGAGUGGAGUCAGAGUCAGAGUGGAGUCGGAGUGGAGUCGGAGUCAGAGUGGAGACAGAGUCAGAACGGAGACAGAGUCAGAGUGGAAACAGAGUCAGAGUGGAGACAGAGUCAGAGUGGAGUCAGAGUGGAAGUGGAGUCAGAGUGGAGACAGAGUCGAGUGGAUGUUGGAGCGGAGUCAGAGUCAGAGUCGGCGCGGAGUCAGAGUCGGAGUGGAGUCGGAGUCAGAGUGGAGUCUGAGUCGGAAUGGAGUUGGAGACAGAGUGGAGUCAGUGUGGAGUAAGAGACGGAGUGGAGUUGGAGUCAGAGUGGAAUUAGAGUCAGAGUGGAGUCAGAGUCGGAGUGGAGACGGAGUCAGAGUCAGAGUGGAGUCAGAGUCAGAGAGAAGACAGAGACAGAGUCAGAGUGGAGUCAGAGUCAGAGUGGAGUUGGAGUCAGAGUGGAAUCAGAGUCAGAGUCGGAGUGGAGUUGGAGUCAGAGUGGAGUCAGAGUCAGAGUGGAGUCAGAGUGGAGUCAGAGUGGAGACAGAGUCGAGUGGGAGUCGGAGCGGAGUCAGAGUCAGGGCGGAAGUGGAGUCAGAGUGGAGACAGAGUCGAGUGGGAGUCGGAGCGGAGUCAGAGUCGGGGCGGAGUCAGAGUCAGAGUGGAAUCAGAGUCAGAGUCGGAGUGGAGUUGGAGUCAG
Long non-coding RNA from Ictalurus punctatus (channel catfish), 1615 nucleotides. NCBI's taxonomy places the organism in Eukaryota, Metazoa, Chordata, Actinopteri, Siluriformes, Ictaluridae. The record is from Ensembl.